UACGUAGGCAGCAAGCGUUGUUCGGAGUUACUGGGCGUAAAGAGUGCGUAGGCGGUCCUGUAAGUUUGGUGUGAAAUCUCCCGGCUCAACUGGGAGGGUGCGCCGAAGACUGCAGGGCUUGAGUAUGGGAGAGGUAAGCGGAAUUCCUGGUGUAGCGGUGAAAUGCGUAGAUAUCUGGAGGAACACCGGUGGCGAAGGCGGCAUCCUGGACCGACACUGACACUGAGGAGCGAAAGCCAGGGGAGCAAACGGG
RNAcentral lists this ribosomal RNA (253 nucleotides) under uncultured bacterium. Its description in RNAcentral is "partial 16S ribosomal RNA". It matches the Rfam family "Bacterial small subunit ribosomal RNA", at positions 524 to 776 of the family's 1533-position model. The record is from RNAcentral.